This 2122-nucleotide long non-coding RNA is filed under the name Homo sapiens (human). RNAcentral's name for it is "HSALNT0392956". Lineage: Eukaryota; Metazoa; Chordata; Mammalia; Primates; Hominidae. The record is from RNAcentral.
AUAGAGACAUGGUGAAGUGCCUCCUAACAGAGCAGAAGUGACCCCAUCGAAGACUACUUCUUGGGGAGGAUUUCACACAGUUCAUCAUCAAGCAAAGAUCAUUGCCUUCUGAGCAGAAGAGACUCUAAAUAAAUAUAGAAGAAUAGAAAUCUGAAGUGGAAAGUUGUAGCCAGAGCAUGCAUAUGAUACUGGCAGAUCUUUUCUAAAGAGAAAUUCAUUUUCCAUAAAUGCUUUACAAUGGAUCCUGACGAUAAGACAUCUUGCCAAAUGAUUUGCUGCUCAUCAUAAAGAUUUCCCAGUAAAUAAAAUUUCCAGGCUCAUCUCCUGUUAUUGCAUGAAUGUUUUGGAACUACAUCUCAGGAAAUAAGUGAGGAUUGCAAAUUAUGACUUUCAGGUUGGAAAUCCAGCAAUGAACUUUGUUGACUUGGUCUGGCCAUACUGGCCAUGGCUUAGCAUUUGACAGAACUUUAGGGUCUACAGUUUCUCCGCAAAGGAAGUUCUGAGCAAUGGAAGCAAGGCUGGGCUGAGCAAAAAACUUCCUAAAGUGAUUUUGGUUUCAGAAAUCUGAUUUAUUCUCUCAGAAUCACACAUAACAUUCUCAGCUCCGAGAGAGUGUGCGCAUCACUUUAGAAAGAACUCUUGACUGGAAAGCAGUAGAUGUAGGUUCAAGUUUAGUUCCCCAGUUUGGUAGGUGAGGGGAACCCCUCCUCUGUCAUGUGAGAGAGAAACACCUUGUCCAUCCGCACCUACAGAGUUGCAUGGAUCUACGCUGGACAUAGCUCAAAAACAAUGCAUGAGAAAGAAUAGAAAGAGCAUUGGACAUGGAGCCUCUGUAGGGCUGAAUUCCUGCUCACCACUUACUCCUGAUACUGGGAAGAUUUUCAACGUCUCCAAGACUGGGGUUUUUCAUUUGCAAAAGGAGGGCUGCAGGAACUUGGAGUACUACAUGUAAUAACAUACUGGUCAUCACUCUUGGCAAAUAUUGAAAGCUUCACUUGGUCCCUGACACCUAAAGGAUAAAGAAGAGCUUGAUGAUCUGAUGUGAGGACCCGGCUUGGGGAUGACGGCAGAUCCUAUCUCCCUUCUCUCCAGUCUCAAUUCUAGCAAGCAGCAUCUUUCAGCUUAUGUUGGGGAGUGAAGCAGGAUCUGUGACCUAGGACCGAAGCUGGCGCCUGGCGGGACGACUCAGACACCAGACUUUGGACCACAAUACCAUCAACUAUUAGUGUCUGUCUCUCCAGGAUCCCUAGCAACUAAUGUUAUUUUUAGUGACUGACUCUUUAAUAUGUACUGCUUGUGAAUAUGAAUUUAAAUGUUAUGUCCAGGGCACACAGCAGUGCACACAGCACUAGCAGUUGGGGCAAUUGAGGUAUUAAUUUUCUACUCGGUAACUCGCAUCGUCAUCCACAACCUGCAGAGCAAAGCCCAAACUCUGUACCGCAGCACUCAAGACCCUCUAUUAGCUGACUCCAUCCUAACUGCCUAGUGCCAUGUUCCAGUCACAGGACCUGGGGUCCUGUCAUACAGACAUGUUCCAUUUCCAAAUAAGCCAUGCAGAGCUCUGCAUCUGUGCUGAGCUGCUCCUUCGGCCGAGAAGGUCGUUUCUGUCUUCUGUGGCUGAAACUCAUGCUCCCUCAGGGUCCACAGCUGUGUACUAAGUGCUGGUGCUGGCACAGUGAUGCACGUCCUUCUCACAUCAAACUCGGACAGGGCUAGGGUGUGGCCUCAGAACAGCCCACUUCUCCUUAGCAGCACAUUAUCUGUCAUCUACUUAUGAGUUCAAAAGUGGAGAUGACAGAAACAAGGAAAUAAAAGUGCAUCUUCAACAUAAGAGGAAGUGCACAGUCUCACUCAUAAUAAGAAAAAUGCUAAGUAAAAAUUCCAGCAAGAUACAGUUUCUAAUCCAGCAGUUUGGCGGAAAGAAGAGAAGUUGGAUGAAACAACUAUGGUCAGGCUGUCAGAAAAAGGGCAUUUUCGUGUAGAAUUGGAAGGUUUGUAAAUGUGUAAAACCACUGAGGAUGACUAUCUCGAAAUACCUAGUAAAUUAUAAAUACACCCUAUCCUUUGACCCAGAAAUUCCACUUCUAAGAAUAUAUCCUACAUAUAGCAGUACACAUGGGAA